Molecule: ribosomal RNA, 305 nt
Filed under: uncultured bacterium
Lineage: Bacteria
Description: bacterial SSU rRNA
Rfam family: Bacterial small subunit ribosomal RNA
Source: RNAcentral
CCUACGGGGGGCAGCAGUGAGGAAUAUUGGUCAAUGGACGAGAGUCUGAACCAGCCAAGUAGCGUGAAGGAUGACUGCCCUAUGGGUUGUAAACUUCUUUUAUAUGGGAAUAAAAUGUUCCACGUGUGGGAUUUUGUAUGUACCAUAUGAAUAAGGAUCGGCUAACUCCGUGCCAGCAGCCGCGGUAAUACGGAGGAUCCGAGCGUUAUCCGGAUUUAUUGGGUUUAAAGGGUGCGUAGGCGGACUGUCAAGUCAGCGGUAAAAUACGGGGGCUCAACAUCCGCCCGCCGUUGAAACUGACGGUC